This 202-nucleotide ribosomal RNA is filed under the name Staphylococcus aureus. RNAcentral's name for it is "partial 23S ribosomal RNA". It matches the Rfam family "Bacterial large subunit ribosomal RNA", at positions 1482 to 1681 of the family's 2925-position model. The record is from RNAcentral. Lineage: Bacteria; Bacillati; Bacillota; Bacilli; Caryophanales; Staphylococcaceae.
AUAGGCGAAGCGUGCGAUUGGAUUGCACGUCUAAGCAGUAAGGCUGAGUAUUAGGCAAAUCCGGUACUCGUUAAGGCUGAGCUGUGAUGGGGAGAAGACAUUGUGUCUUCGAGUCGUUGAUUUCACACUGCCGAGAAAAGCCUCUAGAUAGAAAAUAGGUGCCCGUACCGCAAACCGACACAGGUAGUCAAGAUGAGAAUUC